This is an unclassified non-coding RNA of Callithrix jacchus (white-tufted-ear marmoset), 299 nucleotides long. It matches the Rfam family "Metazoan signal recognition particle RNA". Rfam says of the family: The signal recognition particle (SRP) is a universally conserved ribonucleoprotein. It is involved in the co-translational targeting of proteins to membranes. The eukaryotic SRP consists of a 300-nucleotide 7S RNA and six proteins: SRPs 72, 68, 54, 19, 14, and 9. The record is from Ensembl. Lineage: Eukaryota; Metazoa; Chordata; Mammalia; Primates; Cebidae.
GCCAGGCACAGUGGCAUUGCCUGUAGUCCCAGCUACUCGGGAGGCUGAGGCUGGAGGAUCGCUUGAGUCCAGGAGUUCUGGGCUGUAAUGCACUAUGCCAAUUGGGUGUCUGCACUAAGUUCAGCAUCAAUAUGAUGACCUCCUGGGAGUGGGGGACCACCAGGUUGCCUAAGAAGGGGUAAACCGGCCCAGGUCAGAAAUGGAGGAGGUCAAAACUCCUGGGCUUAUCAGUAGUGGAAUCUCGCCUGUGAAUAGCCACUGCACUACAGCCUGAGCAACAUAGCGAGACCCCAUCUCUU